UUAUGGCCAUAUCACAGUUGAAACACCAGUUCCCAUAUGUUCAUCAAAGUUAAGCAGUGUCAAACCAAGUCAGUACCUAGAUGAGUGACCAGCUUGGGAAUACCAAAUGCUGGAA
Non-coding RNA from Acanthosepion pharaonis, 115 nucleotides. NCBI's taxonomy places the organism in Eukaryota, Metazoa, Mollusca, Cephalopoda, Sepiida, Sepiidae. The record is from the annotation of a GenBank genome assembly.